GACGAACGCCUGGCGGCGCGCCUAACACAUGCAAGUCGAACGAGAGAGAGGGAGCUUGCUUCCUCAAUCGAGUGGCGAACGGGUGAGUAACGCGUGAGGAACCUGCCUCAAAGAGGGGGACAACAGUUGGAAACGACUGCUAAUACCGCAUAAGCCCACAGGUCGGCAUCGACCAGAGGGAAAAGGAGCAAUCCGCUUUGAGAUGGCCUCGCGUCCGAUUAGCUAGUUGGUGAGGUAACGGCCCACCAAGGCAACGAUCGGUAGCCGGACUGAGAGGUUGAACGGCCACAUUGGGACUGAGACACGGCCCAGACUCCUACGGGAGGCAGCAGUGGGGAAUAUUGCACAAUGGGGGAAACCCUGAUGCAGCGACGCCGCGUGGAGGAAGAAGGUCUUCGGAUCGUAAACUCCUGUUGUUGAGGAAGAUAAUGACGGUACUCAACAAGGAAGUGACGGCUAACUACGUGCCAGCAGCCGCGGUAAAACGUAGUCACAAGCGUUGUCCGGAAUUACUGGGUGUAAAGGGAGCGCAGGCGGGAAGACAAGCUGGAAGUGAAUCUAUGGGCUCAACCCAUAAACUGCUUUCAAAACUGUUUUUCUUGAGUAGUGCAGAGGUAGGCGGAAUUCCCGGUGUAGCGGUGGAAUGCGUAGAUAUCGGGAGGAACACCAGUGGCGAAGGCGGCCUACUGGGCACCAACUGACGCUGAGGCUCGAAAGUGUGGGUAGCAAACAGGAUUAGAUACCCUGGUAGUCCACACCGUAAACGAUGAUUACUAGGUGUUGGAGGAUUGACCCCUUCAGUGCCGCAGUUAACACAAUAAGUAAUCCACCUGGGGAGUACGACCGCAAGGUUGAAACUCAAAGGAAUUGACGGGGGCCCGCACAAGCAGUGGAGUAUGUGGUUUAAUUCGACGCAACGCGAAGAACCUUACCAAGUCUUGACAUCCUGCGACGAUGCUGGAAACAGUAUUUUCCUUCGGGACGCAGAGACAGGUGGUGCAUGGUUGUCGUCAGCUCGUGUCGUGAGAUGUUGGGUUAAGUCCCGCAACGAGCGCAACCCUUACUGUCAGUUACUACGCAAGAGGACUCUGGCAGGACUGCCGUUGACAAAACGGAGGAAGGUGGGGAUGACGUCAAAUCAUCAUGCCCUUUAUGACUUAGGCUACACACGUACUACAAUGGCGUUAAACAAAGAGAAGCAAGACCGCGAGGUGGAGCAAAACUCAGAAACAACGUCCCAGUUCGGACUGCAGGCUGCAACUCGCCUGCACGAAAGUCGGAAUUGCUAGUAAUCGUGGAUCAGCAUGCCACGGUGAAUACGUUCCCGGGCCU
RNAcentral lists this ribosomal RNA (1332 nucleotides) under uncultured bacterium. RNAcentral describes it as "bacterial SSU rRNA". It matches the Rfam family "Bacterial small subunit ribosomal RNA", at positions 28 to 1381 of the family's 1533-position model. The record is from RNAcentral.